ACCACCCGGUAAGGUCCCGGAAUUGUGAUUAAGUGUGAAAGGAUUUGGAAAUUCCUAAACAGCCGGGAGGUUGGCUUAGAAGCAGCCAUCCUUUAAAGAUAGCGUAACAGCUCACCGGUCUAAUAGAGUUUCUGCGCCGAAGAUGUAACGGGGCUCAAAUCACAUACCGAAUCUGUGGGUUUAUAAAAUUUUUGAAUUUUAUAAGCGGUAGCGGAACGUUCUGUAAGCCUGUAAAGGGAUACCCGUGAGGGAUCCUGGAGGUAUCAGAAGUGCGAAUGCUGACAUAAGUAACGAUUAACAGAGUGAAAAACUCUGUCGCCGAAAAUCCAAGGGUUCCUGCGCAAGGUUAAUCCGCGCAGGGUUAGUCGGCCCCUAAGAUGAGGGCGAAAGCCGUAGUCGAUGGAAAUAAGGUUAAUAUUCCUUAACCAGAUGGUAGUGACGAAUCUUGUAAGUUGUGAGUUCUUAAUGGAUUGAACUUGCCGCGAAAAGGUUCCAAGAAAUAGCUCCAUCAUAAGACCGUACCCUAAACCGACACAGGUGGAUUAAUAGAGUAUAUUUAGGCGCUUGAGAGAAUGAUGUUGAAGGAACUCGGCAAAAUGCUUCUGUAACUUCGGAAUAAAGAAGACCUUUUUAUGGGCAACCAUCUAAAGGUGGCACAAGCCAGGGAGAAGCGACUGUUUAUCAAAAACACAGGGCUCUGCUAACACGUAAGUGGAUGUAUAGGGUCUGACGCCUGCCCGGUGCUGGAAGGUUAAUGCGAUGGGUGCAAGCUCAUUUCUGAAGCCCCAGUAAACGGCGGCCGUAACUAUAACGGUCCUAAGGUAGCGAAAUUCCUUGUCGGGUAAGUUCCGACCCGCACGAAAGGUGUAACGAUUUGCGCGCUGUCUCGGAGAGAGGCUCGGCGAAAUAGAAUUGUCUGUGAAGAUGCGGACUACAUACACCCGGACAGAAAGACCCUAUGAAGCUUUACUGUAGUUUGAUAUUGUGCUCGGGCUCUGAAUGCGCAGAAUAGGUGGGAGACGUUGAAAUAGUGCUUGUGGGUACUAUUGAGUCAUCGGUGAGAUACCACUCUUUUAGAGCUAGAGUUACUGUCUCUUAUACCGAUCUGACGCUGCCGACGAGCAGUAGAGUGUAGAUGACGGUGGUGGCCUGUCAGUAUGAGAGAACAAACAAGCGUAGGAA
Molecule: ribosomal RNA, 1182 nt
Filed under: marine sediment metagenome
Description: bacterial LSU rRNA
Rfam family: Bacterial large subunit ribosomal RNA
Source: RNAcentral